This 1138-nucleotide long non-coding RNA is filed under the name Homo sapiens (human). RNAcentral's name for it is "MCM8 antisense RNA 1 (MCM8-AS1)". Lineage: Eukaryota; Metazoa; Chordata; Mammalia; Primates; Hominidae. The record is from RNAcentral.
GGCCUGAAACCCUCUGAGGCGGGUGGCCGGCAGAAGGGCCCCCUCCAAGGGGUCCCCAACCCCUGGGCUGUGGACCAGUACCAAUCCAUGGCCUGUUAGGAACCAGGCCACACAGCAGGAGGCGAGCGGCAGGCAAGCGAGCAUCACCACCUGAGCUCUGCUUCCUGCCAGAGACAUUGCACUCCACAUAGACUCGCUCUGUACCUAGUCUGGAAUGCAGUGGUGUGAUCACGGCUCAGUGCAGCCUCAAACUCCUGGGCUCAAGCAAUCCUACUGCCUCAGCCUCCUGAGUAGCUGGAACCACAGGCAUAUGCCACCAUGCCCAGAUGAGGGAUGCAACGUUAAAAGAUGUUAAAAUGACAUAUCCACAAGAGACAGUCAGAAAAACAUAGAGACUGUCUUACUACAAUGUUUCCCUCUGACUAUCAAGAUGCUGAAAACCUUUGAGAAGAAGCAGGGGCCCAGAUGUAAACUGAUCUGAAACUUGUUCAAAUUUACCACCAAAGCAACUCUGGGAAGCAGUACAAAUACAGAGUUCCAUGAGACAACACUUAAGAGUUCCUCUUGGACAGGAAAGCACAUGCAAACACUGUCCAACAUGAGUAUUCAGACAUGCAGAGAAAUCUUAUACCAAGUAUAACCAACCAUAAAUGGGCAAUAUAGCAUUUUUACUGAAAAGGUAAAUAUAGCCUAAUUUACUCUGCUUAAGCAUGAUGCUCAGAUAGGAGAACUAAUCUACCGUGUCCACAGACCAGUGAAUUUACUGUGGGGAAACAGUAAACAGUUGAGGUGACGUCUAUGGUCUAAGGCCUGCAGAAAUUGAGCAAUGGUAAAGCCUCAAGAGGAGAAUGUUACAGGUUAAGAGAGAAAAGGAGCAGGGUAGUGUACCCCUUAGUUUGCUCGACAGAUGAACAGUCUACAAAGUAGAAACAUGACAUUCAGGAGAGCCAGGCACCAGAAGACCCAGAGGGCCAGAGAUCAUUAAAAGGAAAAAGAAAUCAGGAGUGGGAAUCUCAGCCACACUCCCAAAGGUGGAGUGUUCAAGUGCAGGAUGCAGAGAAAGCAAGAUGCACACAUUCUAGACUGUAAGUCAACAAGCAACUUCUCAUCAUUAAAUAAGAAGUGCCUAUUAAAAAAA